Bos grunniens (domestic yak) is the source of this 3577-nucleotide long non-coding RNA. Lineage: Eukaryota; Metazoa; Chordata; Mammalia; Artiodactyla; Bovidae. The record is from Ensembl.
AUGUGUAACCGCAGCAUCCCCAACUUCAAGUUUUGCGGGGAGUUAAGUUCGCCCUGGGAGCCCUUUAGGCUGCGGGGCCUGGUGUUGGCGGAAGGCAUUCGCUUAGGACCCCCGCCUCUGGCUCGGGGGCGCAGGGCCGCUGGCCACUCUGCCUGGCGUGGCCGUGGUGGGGCCCAGUCGGUCCGGACCCCCGGCCCAUUUCCUACCUUCAGGCACUUCAGAGAAAAACUAAUGACAGCCUCGUAUCCUGGGCGUCAUCUUGUGUUCACCCUCAACCGUGUCCGCUCCCCUUGCCUGUCGAGGGGACCCUGCUAUUUCCACGGAUGCCUGUGUUGUGAUUCGUCUUCGGCUGUCUUGCUUGUCACCUCUCGUUUCCCAAAAAAAAUAAAAAGGAGGAAAUAGAUAUUCAGAUUCAUCUUUCAUCCAAAUGGAGUUUUGCUGCAAAGAAAGGAAGUUAAUUCUCACUCUAUAGGAUCUGGAGGUAAAGCCGCCUUGAGAUACGCUGAGAGGUAACUCAGAACACAGUUCUCCUAGAACUGACUGCCUGAGGGGCAAAAUUGACAAGGAUUUUUUAAGACAGAAACCUUCCGGCAUCCUAACUUCAACAUGACCAUUUUCAAAGUUUGUGUGUGUGUGUGUGUGUGUGUGUGUGUGUGUGUGUUUCCCUUCCCUUGCUUCAGGAGACAUGUUUGCAUGAGGUAUUUGAAAUUCAGGAACAUUUUGAUUCUUCUUGAAGUGCAGGAAAUAGAUUGGCUCCUUCAGAAACAAAGAAGAGCCUCACCCUCAGAAGCGCUUAGAAAAUGGAGUCUGGCAGACACUCCCCAUGGUGGUCAGGAGAGAGAUCCACACGUGAAAGGUGGGACUUGAAUAUAUGCACCAAUUGGCCGAACAGAAACAAAAACAAACGAACAAACAGAAAAAAAAAAAACAACAACCAACCAACAAAACCCGGAGCCCCCCCUCCCCCCUCACACAACCCAAAGGGAGUUGGAACUCCAGUGCAGUAAAGAAAGCUCAGGAGAAGGGGUAAGGGUCUGAGGAGUCCAUAGAGGAAUUAAGAGCAAACCAGGCCUCAGAACCAAACAGUGAGGCAGUUCAUCCAAGGUGGGGGGCGUGGGGAGAAGAGGUGCUUCUCCGUUUUAGUGACAGGAAGCUGUCCCAGUGCAGGCAGGGGAUGGAGGCGGGGGAGGGACCCCAGGGCCCCCUUUCUGGAGGAGCGCAAAGCUCUCCAGUUUCUCGGGGGCCUCAUUUCCGGCCUUCAAGUUCCAACCCUUGAGGCCUGCUCCCCCGUGGGGACCCUCGGAGCAUCCUGGGAAAGAGACACGAUCCAACUGAUGGCUCCAGGAGUCGGAACAGUGUGCAGAAAGAAGCCAGUGGACUCUGGAUUUCAGCCGACUGCAACCUCACCUCCCCCGCGGAUGGGGCCAGGUGGAGCUGGGGAGGUAGACUAGGGCAGCAGGUGACUGUGGAUUUGAAAUCCAAGCAGCGUCCUGUGAGAAAAGUUCAGCACCAGCUAUUCCUGGCGUCUGCUCCCAGCCUCCUCUGGCCCUUUAUCGUCUUAAGGAGACUGUCCUGCUUGUCACCUCUCGUUUCCCAAAAAUAAAAGGAGGAAAUAGAUAUUCAGAUUCAUCUUUCAUCCAAAUGGAGUUUUGCUGCAAAGAAAGGAAGUUAAUUCUCACUCUAUAGGAUCUGGAGGUAAAGCCGCCUUGAGAUACGCUGAGAGGUAACUCAGAACACAGUUCUCCUAGAACUGACUGCCUGAGGGGCAAAAUUGACAAGGAUUUUAAGACAGAAACCUUCCGGCAUCCUAACUUCAACAUGACCAUUUUCAAAGUUUGUGUGUGUGUGUGUGUGUGUGUGUGUGUUUCCCUUCCCUUGCUUCAGGAGACAUGUUUGCAUGAGGUAUUUGAAAUUCAGGAACAUUUUGAUUCUUCUUGAAGUGCAGGAAAUAGAUUGGCUCCCUUCAGAAACAAAGAAGAGCCUCACCCUCAGAAACGCUUAGAAAAUGGAGUCUGGCAGACACUCCCCAUGGUGGUCAGGAGAGAGAUCCACACGUGAAAGGUGGGACUUGAAUAUAUGCACCAAUUGGCGAACAGAAACAAAACAAACGAACAAACAGAAAAAAAAACAACAACCAACCAACAAAACCGGGCCCCUCCCCUCACACAACCCAAAGGGAGUUGGAACUCCAGUGCAGUAAAAAAGCUCAGGAGAAGGGGUAAGGGUCUGAGGAGUCCAUAGAGGAAUUAAGAGCAAACCAGGCCUCAGAACCAAACAGUGAGGCAGUUCAUCCAAGGUGGGGGGCGUGGGGAGAAGAGGUGCUUCUCCGUUUUAGUGACAGGAAGCUGUCCCAGUGCAGGCAGGGGAUGGAGGCGGGGGAGGGACCCCAGGGCCCCCUUUCUGGAGGAGCGCAAAGCUCUCCAGUUUCUCGGGGGCCUCAUUUCCGGCCUUCAAGUUCCAACCCUUGAGGCCUGCUCCCCCGUGGGGACCCUCGGAGCAUCCUGGGAAAGAGACACGAUCCAACUGAUGGCUCCAGGAGUCGGAACAGUGUGCAGAAAGAAGCCAGUGGACUCUGGUUUCAGCCGACUGCAACCUCACCUCCCCCGCGGAUGGGGCCAGGUGGAGCUGGGGAGGUAGACUAGGGCAGCAGGUGACUGUGGAUUUGAAAUCCAAGCAACGUCCUGUGAGAAAAAGUUCAGCACCAGCUAUUCCUGACGUCUGCUCCCAGCCUCCUCUGGCCCUUUAUCGUCUUAAGGAGACUGUCCUGCCAUCAGCCGCAGAAGCCAGUCUGUCUUCGGAGGUGUGGGAGGUUGCCAUAUGGGGGAGAGGGGCUGAGGCGGGAAGUGCCAGAACAAUCCAAGGGCUCUGUAUGUCCCUCUGGGCAGCUGUGGGCUUGGAAACACCAGUUCAGAUGCCUCAAGUAAGCCCUGGGGACAAUGCCCAGACAUCUGAGACUCCUCGGACCCUGGAGGCUAGCACUGUCCCCAACCAGGGCUCAGGGUGUGUCCUGCAGCCUCCCAGCUGCACCUAGAAACCAGAUGGCCGGGGAGAUCCUGCUCUUCUGUGGCCUCAAGCUCUCCUUCUCCCUGCCUGGUCCACUCCAGCUGAAGUCCUGAGGCAGGGAGGAGAAAGACUCGAGGACCGGAGCAAUGGCUGCCUGAACUGAACCAAGAGGGCACUUGUAAGGGGAGAUGCAAAACAACCAGGAAAACAUGCCAGAGGUCACCUCAAGGGCACAAGGCACAAAAAAAGAAAGCAGAAGGAAUAUCGGUUGAACAGUGAAAAGCCCCGAUGAAAAAGCGAAUUCCUGAUCAGUACCACCCUCAAAUAGCUUAUAUCAUUAAAUAGAGGAGUGGGGAGGAAAAAAAAAAAAUACAGCAGCAACACAAAUGUAAUCUUGGCUUCAGAGACAGUGUCCAGACGCUCCUGAGCUGUCGACCCCGCCUUCCCCAGGACAGUCACUUCAAGAUUCGAGUGUUUUGCUUCACAGCAGAAAGUUCUUCAGUGUCUGAGAAGUUACGCCGUUCUAGGUUUUCUUGGAUUUGCACUUGGCAAACUUGUUAAGUUAGUAGUUCCC